Molecule: transfer RNA, 85 nt
Filed under: Felis catus (domestic cat)
Lineage: Eukaryota; Metazoa; Chordata; Mammalia; Carnivora; Felidae
Also listed under: 1 other name
Rfam family: tRNA
About the family: Transfer RNA (tRNA) molecules are approximately 80 nucleotides in length.
Source: Rfam by way of RNAcentral
GCCUGGGUGGCUCAGUCGGUUGAGCGUCUGACUUAGGCUCAGGUCAUGACCUUACAGUUCGUGAGUUCGAGCCCCGCUUCAGGCU